This 374-nucleotide ribosomal RNA is filed under the name uncultured organism. Its description in RNAcentral is "partial 16S ribosomal RNA". It matches the Rfam family "Bacterial small subunit ribosomal RNA", at positions 527 to 896 of the family's 1533-position model. The record is from RNAcentral.
AGAGGGUGCAAACGUUGCUCGGAUUUACUGGGCGUAAAGCGCGUGUAGGCGGACUCGCAAGUCGGGUUGUGAAAUCCCCUGGGGCUCAACCUAGGAACUGCAUCCGAAACUGCUUGUCUUGAGUAAUGGAGAGGGUGGCGGAAUUCCCGGUGUAGAGGUGAAAUUCGUAGAUAUCGGGAGGAACAUCAGUGGCGAAGGCGGCCACCUGGACAUUUACUGACGCUGAGACGCGAAAGCGUGGGGAGCAAACAGGAUUAGAUACCCUGGUAGUCCACGCCGUAAACGAUGAGAACUAGGUGCAGCGGAUAUUGACCUCUGCUGUGCCGUAGCUAACGCGUUAAGUUCUCCGCCUGGGGAGUACGGCCGCAAGGCUA